Long non-coding RNA from Pezoporus occidentalis (night parrot), 861 nucleotides. RefSeq lists it as uncharacterized. The transcript is spliced from 3 exons. The record is from RefSeq and is a predicted model, not a curated record. Lineage: Eukaryota; Metazoa; Chordata; Aves; Psittaciformes; Psittacidae.
AAAGGGGAUCUUGGCCGUUUCCAAACAGGACACCGGCCACCUCUGUGAGGACACGUUCUCUCAGCCCAUCUCCAGGAGCUGACAGGGGCUGUAUGCUUCCGAUUACAUAGCACUUGCAGAUGGAGCUAAUUGGUGACUCCUUUUUAUCACCUCUCCGGUAUCAUCUGGAUGAACUGGCUCUAUCACUCUACAGCCCCAGAAACAGCAGUGCCAUGGCAGUUCCCCAAGCUGGAACCCCUGGCACAAGCUUCAAACAGAAACCGAAAGGCUCUCUUGGCCAGCGAGGUGAUAAUGGCGCAGGCAGCAACACGCACCGGAGCCUCUGAACACCUGGGUUCUUUGCCUUGGCUUUCAGGGGAACUUAUUAAAGGUUUUUAUGCCUCAGUUUCUCAGUUUGCAGCCACCUCGGUAAAUUACUUGAAAGCUUUGUGGAUGGGAAAUACACAGCAUCAGCAGCUUGCUAAUACCAAGGUGCAAGAUUUUGUUUUUCUCAGAUCAGGGCAAUAAAGUACUAAUGCAAAGAGAAAGGCAGCAACAGAUAACACUAGAAAAGAAUUGACUUCCAUAUGGAACAAUAACUUCCUUUGGGCUUUUCUCCAGCUCUACUUCAAUAAUCUCCCUUUUAUUACCCUUUAUAUGAGUUUCAAGUUCCCUGGCUGCAAAGGCUGGCAGAGAGUGAGGCGGAGCUGCUCUCCUGAGACAGCUCUUUUGGCUUUCUCUAACCUGGUGACUGUAAGGUGCAGUUCAGAGCAAAGGCUGUGGUGAGAAAUAUGGGCAAAGAGUAAGCCUGCCCACUGCUCUCCAACCUCUGUGUCCCUCCUUGCAGCAGCAAUACGCACCAGUAAGCCUGGAGUUAUCCAG